RNAcentral lists this small nuclear RNA (294 nucleotides) under Mus caroli (Ryukyu mouse). RNAcentral describes it as "sRNA (MGP_CAROLIEiJ_G0008641.1)". It matches the Rfam family "7SK RNA". Rfam says of the family: 7SK was discovered as an abundant small nuclear RNA in the mid-70s but a possible function has only recently been suggested. Two independent studies have found that 7SK RNA binds the CDK9/cyclin T complex (known as elongation factor P-TEFb). P-TEFb activates transcription by phosphorylating the C-terminal domain of RNA polymerase II. Lineage: Eukaryota; Metazoa; Chordata; Mammalia; Rodentia; Muridae. The record is from RNAcentral.
AGGUAUGAGGACAAUUUGUCCCAGAACACGCCUCCUCAUGGGUCACUAAGGUGAGUGUGGCUGAUCCGGCCGGCCGGCUAGGCAAGUGUCCCCUUCCUAUAUCAGCAUUCUGGGUGCUUCCUGCUUCCUGCUUUAAGUGGCCAACCUCCUGGAGAGAGCCAAGGGCAUGCAAGUAAGUGUACUCCCCUGCUAGGAUCUCCAAACAAACUCUCAGAAGCAACCUCACGAGGAGCUUCAGGAAAGAGAGAUAGGCCCACUGGGGGGCUGUGUUGGAACCUCCACCCAUCAGACCCC